AAAGGUAGUGGUAGAGGUGGUGGUAGAGGAAGGGAUAGUGCUAGAAGUAGUGGUAGAGGUACAGUAGUGGUAGAGGUAGUGACAAUGAUAGAGGUAGUGACAAUGAUAGAGGUAGUGACAAUGAUAGAGGUAGUGACAAUGAUAGAGGUAGUGACAAUGAUAGAGGUAGUGACAAUGAUAGAGGUAGUGGUAAUGAUAGAGAUAGUGGUAAUGAUAGAGAUAGUGGUAGAGGUACAGUAGCGGUAGUGGUAGCGGUAGAGAUAGUGGUAGAGGUAGAAAUAGAAGUAGUGGUAGAGGUAGACAUAGUGGUAGAGGUACAGGUAGAAAUAGAAGUAGAGGUAGACAUAGACGUAGAGGUAGAGGUAGUGGUACUGACAAUGAUAGAGGUAGUGGUAAUGAUAGAGGUAGAAGUAGUGGAAGAGGUAGUGAUAGAUGUAGUGAUAGAGAUAGUGGUAGAAAUAGUGGUAGAGGUAGAGG
Long non-coding RNA from Oncorhynchus tshawytscha (Chinook salmon), 477 nucleotides. The record is from Ensembl. NCBI's taxonomy places the organism in Eukaryota, Metazoa, Chordata, Actinopteri, Salmoniformes, Salmonidae.